CCUGUUGCCACAAACCCGUAGAUCCGAACUUGUGGUGAUAGUCCACACAAGCUUGUGUCUAUAGGUAUGUGUCUGUUAGG
Panthera tigris altaica (Amur tiger) is the source of this 80-nucleotide microRNA precursor. Ensembl annotates it as microRNA 100. Its record names the gene MIR100. The record is from Ensembl. Lineage: Eukaryota; Metazoa; Chordata; Mammalia; Carnivora; Felidae.